This 556-nucleotide ribosomal RNA is filed under the name uncultured bacterium. RNAcentral describes it as "bacterial SSU rRNA". It matches the Rfam family "Bacterial small subunit ribosomal RNA", at positions 777 to 1345 of the family's 1533-position model. The record is from RNAcentral.
AAUAGAUCCCCGGUAGUCCACGCCGUAAACGAUGGAUGCUAGCUGUUAUGCGUAUCGACCCGUGUAGUAGCGAAGCUAACGCGUUAAGCAUCCCGCCUGGGGAGUACGAACGCAAGUUUAAAACUCAAAGGAAUUGACGGGGACCCGCACAAGCGGUGGAGCGUGUUCUUUAAUUCGAGGCUAAGCGAAGAACCUUACCAGGGCUUGACAUCCUUGGAAUUUCUCCGAAAGGAGAGAGUACUUUAUUGGACCAAGUGACAGGUGCUGCAUGGCCGUCGUCAGCUCGUGUCGUGAGAUGUUUGGUUAAGUCCAUUAACGAGCGCAACCCUUAUGAAUAGUUGUAUUUUUCUAUUCAGACUGCCCCGGGUAACGGGGAGGAAGGGGGGGAUGAUGUCAGGUCAGUAUUGCCCUUACGCCCUGGGCUAGAAACGCGCUACAAUGGCCGGUACAAUGCGCUGCCAACCCGGCGAGGGGGAGCAAAUCGCAUCAAAGCCGGUCCCAGUUCGGAUAAGAGGCUGAAACUCGCCUCUUUGAAGCCGGAAUCGCUAGUAAUCGU